CCACCUGCAGCCACUUGUAAUUAGCGCGGUCUAUUUAAACUGGCAGUGCCCUGCCUUCUGUUUCGGUCUGCAACGCUGCUCAGUAGCUAACUCUGCUGCACAUUUCUGUUACUUUUGCUGCUAAUGCUAAUUGAUGUCUCAUAAAUAAGCUAACCUAUAAACUGUCCUUGUGGCUUAGAAUUAAUGUGGAGGAAUUAAAUGUGUUGGUGCUUCUUGACUACCAUGCAAUCACCUGUGACCUGAAUGCUCACCUCAAAACUGGAUUUACCGGUGCUGUUUGGAGCCCAUCUGUCUGAGAAACGUCUCAAAGAGACUUUCCAUCCCAUCCCAGACACUGAACGAGCUAGUGUAAGCCUCACUAAGUCACUCUCAGCUCCGCCGCCUCAGCUUGUAUAAAGAUCUUCUCCAGGACAACUAUGCAGCGUUUUGAUUUACGACACAGGAAAGGCCAGGAUUGACAACCCGAUAAUGCCGACUCAGAUUCUUGGAUUGCCGUUGCCAUUCAUAAGAGGCCAGCAGACCAAGACUAAAUGAGACCAGGAUGGAAAUGUCCCCUGCGUGCACAACCUUUUACGAGAGGGUCAUUCUCAGAACUGUGAACUCUAUCUCACAGCCUCUGACCACCACCAUUGCUGGCUUAUGGAAGAAUCCCACUAGCAAUACCAACCUUCCCCCCACCGCACUGUAAAUCAAACGGCUAUCUAAAGCAGCGGGACUCAUCCUUACAGCACUGGACAGUGACAUAUGGGAAAUCCCCAGUGUUGUAAUAUACCACUGGCGAUCCAACCAGACCAUAAAGGUCACAGUCCACACUGUGCAGACCGUGUUUGGCUUUUUGUUACAUGGUGUUCAGGCAAGGAGGAAGCCGAGCACCAAGCCCCCUCAAGCAAAUGAAGCCUUGUUGACAGAGUUUAAAUAAUUGAAAACUAAUCUGCUCUGUAAAUGAAUGUUGGGUUUAAGAAGGAAUAAACCCAAGUACAUCAGAAAUCCUGCUUCUGGUCAUGCCUCUGAAAUUGUUUAACCUGUGAAUGAAGUGUGUUUAGAGCCCAUAAUCCAAGAUGAAUCAAAGUAAUAACUGGUCUUUGCUACAAGAGAAUAAAAAGCUUUUGGGCUCAUCUGUAUUAGGUGUGUAUUAUAUAGAGGUUUAAGCAUUUACACGUUGCAUUCAGAGGUUCACAUUGUAAAAUUUAUGGGCAAAUUGUCUGAUACACAAACUGUGUUCUCAAAGAAAAGAAACCUAUUUACUCUUUAUCUCUUAUCUUUUGUGCUGGGAUGGUGCUUUGGUGUUCAUGGCAUCACUUUUCACUCUGUUUUGGCUAUACUGUACAUAGGCUGAUUU
Molecule: long non-coding RNA, 1339 nt
Organism: Eleginops maclovinus (Patagonian blennie)
Lineage: Eukaryota; Metazoa; Chordata; Actinopteri; Perciformes; Eleginopidae
Exons: 3
Source: RefSeq, a predicted model, not a curated record